Molecule: ribosomal RNA, 373 nt
Filed under: uncultured organism
Description: bacterial SSU rRNA
Rfam family: Bacterial small subunit ribosomal RNA
Source: RNAcentral
CAGAGGUCCCGAGCGUUGUUCGGAUUCACUGGGCGUAAAGGGUGCGUAGGUGGUGAGGUAAGUCGGAUGUGAAAUCUCCGGGCUCAACCCGGAAACUGCAUUGGAAACUACCUUGCUUGAGGUUUUGAGGGGGGACUGGAAUUCUCGGUGUAGCAGUGAAAUGCGUAGAUAUCGAGAGGAACACCAGUGGCGAAGGCGAGUCCCUGGAAAACACCUGACACUGAGGCACGAAAGCUAGGGGAGCAAACAGGAUUAGAUACCCUGGUAGUCCUAGCCCUAAACGGUGCUUGCUUGCUGUAAGUGGAAUCGACCCCACUUGUGGCGGAGCUAACGCGUUAAGCAAGCCGCCUGGGAAGUACGGUCGCAAGAUUAA